Long non-coding RNA from Oncorhynchus tshawytscha (Chinook salmon), 1038 nucleotides. NCBI's taxonomy places the organism in Eukaryota, Metazoa, Chordata, Actinopteri, Salmoniformes, Salmonidae. The record is from Ensembl.
AUUUAUUAUUUAAUUUUUUUGCUUUUGACUUGUUUCCAGUUUUUUUUUGCUCAUUUUGUGACCAAAGAUGGCACCCCCUUUCUCGUCGGGUGACUUAGAAUAUUUUUUUGUUGUCGUUAUCCUUUUGUUUGGUUCUUGUAGUUUUUGGCUGCUGUGGUACAAUAAAAAAGAACAACACAAAAAAAUGCAACGAAUGAAAACAGCUACAGGAAAUGUAUGAAGAGGGUGCACCUUGCACGUUUGCCUCAUGCAGAGGCCUCUUUCUGAAGGAACGAUUGUAAACAUUUGUAAAUAGAGAAGACUGGUAGAAAACAUAACAAACAGCAAUUCAAAAGCAUUUGUUACAUUUGUCCCACGGUACCUGCUGUACACGUACGUGUACCAAUCUGUUCUGUGGUCAAGGGUGAAGGGUCUUGACCCUUUUCAUCCGACUAUCAAGAGAUUGUUACAUAGGAGUCCGUUGUCAUAAACAGUUUUGGAGAGAUACUGUUUUAAAGGAGUGAAUGCCAUAGUCUUUCAUCAAGGACUUUUGAAUCAGAUGAGCGCAAAUACGCUGUGAUCUGAACCCCCAUUUUACUGAAGCAAAUCAUCCCCAUAUAACCCUCCACUACAGUUCAGUUUAAAAAGUUGGCUCAAGGUGGUUACGUGUGUAAUGAUGUGGUGUCGUUUGUUUUACAUGAGCUUUGUGAACACACGUACUGCCCCAGGUACUGCCCCAGGUACUGCCCCAGGUACUGUCCCCAUCUCCCUGUUUUUCUCUGUCUGUUUCUGUCUUAUGGGUGUUGUGUAGUCAAACUUCCUUCUGAGCAGUGCAUCAGACUGCUGCCACCUAUGUGUGUGUGCGUGUGCGCGCACGUAUGUACGUGAGUGUGUUUGUGUGUUAGUUCAUAGUAUCCUCACUGACAUUGCGACCUGCCAUUUUCAAAAUAAAUUAUCCAGAAUGUUCUCUUUUCUUGUCCUUCAUGUACGCUCUUUUAUCUUCCAUUACUACAGGUCAUAACACUAGGUACGUCGCCCCUCCUUCCCUCCCAUUACUAC